CAUGCAAGUCGAGGGGCAGCAUCAUUAAAGCUUGCUUUGAUGGAUGGCGACCGGCGCACGGGUGAGUAACACGUAUCCAACCUGCCGACAACACUGGGAUAGCCUUUCGAAAGAAAGAUUAAUACCGGAUGGCAUAGUCUUCCCGCAUGGGAUGACUAUUAAAGAAUUUCGGUUGUCGAUGGGGAUGCGUUCCAUUAGGCAGUUGGCGGGGUAACGGCCCACCAAACCAACGAUGGAUAGGGGUUCUGAGAGGAAGGUCCCCCACAUUGGAACUGAGACACGGUCCAAACUCCUACGGGAGGCAGCAGUGAGGAAUAUUGGUCAAUGGACGAGAGUCUGAACCAGCCAAGUAGCGUGAAGGAUGACUGCCCUAUGGGUUGUAAACUUCUUUUAUACGGGAAUAAAGUGAGCCACGUGUGGCUUUUUGUAUGUACCGUAUGAAUAAGGAUCGGCUAACUCCGUGCCAGCAGCCGCGGUAAUACGGAGGAUCCGAGCGUUAUCCGGAUUUAUUGGGUUUAAAGGGAGCGUAGGCGGGUUGUUAAGUCAGUUGUGAAAGUUUGCGGCUCAACCGUAAAAUUGCAGUUGAUACUGGCGACCUUGAGUGCAACAGAGGUAGGCGGAAUUCGUGGUGUAGCGGUGAAAUGCUUAGAUAUCACGAAGAACUCCGAUUGCGAAGGCAGCUUACUGGAUUGUAACUGACGCUGAUGCUCGAAAGUGUGGGUAUCAAACAGGAUUAGAUACCCUGGUAGUCCACACAGUAAACGAUGAAUACUCGCUGUUGGCGAUAUACGGUCAGCGGCCAAGCGAAAGCAUUAAGUAUUCCACCUGGGGAGUACGCCGGCAACGGUGAAACUCAAAGGAAUUGACGGGGGCCCGCACAAGCGGAGGAACAUGUGGUUUAAUUCGAUGAUACGCGAGGAACCUUACCCGGGCUUAAAUUGCAACUGAAUGAUGUGGA
This 958-nucleotide ribosomal RNA is filed under the name uncultured bacterium. RNAcentral's name for it is "bacterial SSU rRNA". It matches the Rfam family "Bacterial small subunit ribosomal RNA", at positions 54 to 1004 of the family's 1533-position model. The record is from RNAcentral.